GCACUUUUAGUAUAAUUAGUACAUUUGUCUUCCAAACAAAAGGUUUCCUUUACGGAAAAAGUGUAC
RNAcentral lists this transfer RNA (66 nucleotides) under Saccostrea cuccullata (small rock oyster). RNAcentral describes it as "Saccostrea cucullata (small rock oyster) tRNA-Gly". It matches the Rfam family "tRNA". Rfam says of the family: Transfer RNA (tRNA) molecules are approximately 80 nucleotides in length. Their secondary structure includes four short double-helical elements and three loops (D, anti-codon, and T loops). The record is from RNAcentral. Lineage: Eukaryota; Metazoa; Mollusca; Bivalvia; Ostreida; Ostreidae.